This 548-nucleotide unclassified non-coding RNA is filed under the name Hevea brasiliensis (rubber tree). The record is from RNAcentral. Lineage: Eukaryota; Viridiplantae; Streptophyta; Magnoliopsida; Malpighiales; Euphorbiaceae.
GGUAUUUAGCCGAGAAUGCGGCCCCAGUGGCCACCGGGAUGCCCUCGCCGAUGAACGCAAAUCCACCGAGCAAAUUGUGAGGGGCGGAAAACAUAUGCAUAGAUCCGCCCUGCCCCCGGCAGCAGCCGGUGGCCUUCCCGAAGAGCUCGGCCAUAACGGCGCGAGCCGGAACGCCCUUGCUGAGCGCAUGGACGUGGUCUCUGUAGGUGCUGACGACGGAGUCCCGGCCCUCGAGGAGGCGGAUGAAUCCGGUGGAGACGGCCUCCUGGCCGUUGUAGAGGUGGACGAACCCGAACAUCUUGCCGCGGUAGUACAUCUGGGCGCACAUGUCCUCGAAGGUUCGGCCGAGCACCAUGUCCUCGUACAGAUCUAGGGCUUCCUCGCGGGUGACCGCCGGUGCCUCGUGGGAGAGGGGGGCGAUGGAGCCGAGCUUCUGAUCGCUGCUGAUUACGUUGGAGGAGAGGGAGCGGCGGUGGGGGGAGGCGGCGGAGAGAAGGGGGCGGGGGAGGCGGGAUGCGGAGGACGGGAGGAGGAAGGGGGCGGAGGGC